AAAGACUUAGUCCUAACCUUGCUGUUAACUCUUGCUAAACAUAUACAUGCAAGUAUCCGCGCCCCAGUGUAAAUGCCCUUAAUUUCUUACUAAGAUAAUAGGAGCUGGUAUCAGGCACACCCACCUAGCUGUAGCCCAAGACACCUUGCUCUGCCACACCCCCACGGGCACUCAGCAGUAAUUAACAUUAAGCAAUAAGUGUAAACUUGACUUAGUUAUAGCAUACCUCAGGGUUGGUAAAUCUUGUGCCAGCCGCCGCGGUCAUACAAGAGACCCAAGCUAACAGCAUCCGGCGUAAAGAGCGGGUACAUACUAUCUAGGCAACUAGGAUUAAAUCGCAACUGAGCUGUCAUAAGCCCAAGAUACGCCUAAAGCCAUCCCCAAGACGACCCUAGCGCCCACGAUUGACUAACCCCCGCGAAAGCCAGGGCUC
Molecule: ribosomal RNA, 433 nt
Filed under: Buteo buteo buteo (common buzzard)
Lineage: Eukaryota; Metazoa; Chordata; Aves; Accipitriformes; Accipitridae
Description: partial 12S ribosomal RNA
Source: RNAcentral